This 75-nucleotide transfer RNA is filed under the name Tolypothrix brevis GSE-NOS-MK-07-07A. Its description in RNAcentral is "tRNA-Ile". It matches the Rfam family "tRNA". From Rfam's summary of the family: Transfer RNA (tRNA) molecules are approximately 80 nucleotides in length. Their secondary structure includes four short double-helical elements and three loops (D, anti-codon, and T loops). Lineage: Bacteria; Bacillati; Cyanobacteriota; Cyanophyceae; Nostocales; Tolypothrichaceae. The record is from RNAcentral.
AGAAAGUUAGCUCACUGGUAGAGCGGUUGGCUCAUAACCAAUUGGUUGUAGGUUCGAUUCCUAUACUUUCACCCA